GUACACGCUGUGACUAGCAUAUCAAUAAGCGGAGGAAAAGAAACUAACAAGGAUUCCCCUAGUAACGGCGAGUGAAGCGGGAAGAGCUCAAAUUUGAAAUCUUAAAGGGUUUCCCUCUACGAAUUGUAGUUUAAAGAAGUGUCUUCUGUUGAGGUUUUGGUAAAAGUUCUUUGGAAUAGGACAUCAUAGAGGGUGAGAAUCCCGUAUUUGACCUUUACUUUCAACUUUGUGAUACACUUUCAAAGAGUCGGAUUGUUUGGGAAUGCAGUCCAAAAUGGGUGGUAAAUUUCAUCUAAAGCUAAAUAUUGGCGAGAGACCGAUAGCGAACAAGUACCGUGAGGGAAAGAUGAAAGGAACUUUGAAAAGAGAGUUAAACAGUACGUGAAAUUGUCAAAAGGGAAGCGUUUGACACUAGUGUUGUUUUUCUGAAAAUCAAUUAAAGAACUGUUUAUGCUAAGUUGUUUAGACUUUAUCAGCUAACUGUUUAGUUUUGAGCUUUUCUUUAAUGCACUUUUCAGUUAACAAGUCAACAUCAAUUUCUUUUGCUGUAAAAAAGCUUGAGGAAGGUGGCUUGAGAUUCGUCUUAAGUGUUUAUAGCCUCUUGCCUAUGCAGUCGGAGAGAUUGAGGUCUGCAGCGUAGAUCCUUCGGGGCUAAAUGCAUUUGUGCUAAGUUAUAGCAUUUUAUAGACAACUUGUUGACUAUGAUUUGUCUUGUAGCUUACUCGCUUAUGUUAUUUUACCUACGCUUAGGAUGUUGACAGCAGUAUAGACUGU
Molecule: ribosomal RNA, 774 nt
Filed under: uncultured Neocallimastigales
Lineage: Eukaryota; Fungi; Neocallimastigomycota; Neocallimastigomycetes; Neocallimastigales
Description: partial large subunit ribosomal RNA
Rfam family: Eukaryotic large subunit ribosomal RNA
Source: RNAcentral